AAAAGAAAACAUUUUAUGUUUAGGUUUUGAAGUCUUAUACUGAAAUAUCAAUUCCAUGUUGAAAUAUUCAAGUGGAGAAACUCAUUAAAUUCUGCUUCAGCAGAAACAAAUAAGGAGGAAGAUACCAAACUUAAAAAGAUUGAUAAGAGCUUG
Octopus sinensis (East Asian common octopus) is the source of this 153-nucleotide long non-coding RNA. RefSeq lists it as uncharacterized. Lineage: Eukaryota; Metazoa; Mollusca; Cephalopoda; Octopoda; Octopodidae. The transcript has 3 exons. The record is from RefSeq and is a predicted model, not a curated record.